This 94-nucleotide ribosomal RNA is filed under the name Gongora sp. SRR-2011. RNAcentral's name for it is "5.8S ribosomal RNA". It matches the Rfam family "5.8S ribosomal RNA", at positions 1 to 89 of the family's 154-position model. Rfam says of the family: 5.8S ribosomal RNA (5.8S rRNA) is a component of the large subunit of the eukaryotic ribosome. It is transcribed by RNA polymerase I as part of the 45S precursor that also contains 18S and 28S rRNA. The record is from RNAcentral. Lineage: Eukaryota; Viridiplantae; Streptophyta; Magnoliopsida; Asparagales; Orchidaceae.
GACACGACUCUCGGCAAAGGAUAUCUCGGCUCUUGCAUCGAUGAAGAGCGCAGCGAAAUGCGAUACGUGGUGCGAAUUGCAGAAUCCCGCGAAC